AGGAUAGCAAGCAUGAGUGCACGACUAUCAACAGCUUAAUUAAUUAUUGUUUCUUUACACAAACAGCAUAGUAUGCACAUUUUACAUAUUAUAUUUUGCUGGAAAUUCUCGUGUGUACCUGAACGUGCAGAAACAACAAUGACUUGCAAUGCAUGCUUAAACACUAUAUAUAUACAGAUGAACUUAUUCAUUUUCUCUUGUUGUCUUGUUCUUGCUUCGGCAUCUAUCAACUACAACCCUGACUGUGAAAAUGCGAUUAGAAGUAUCGGUCUACCAAGAGUUUGGAGAAAAGAAGAUGAAAGCUUUCCGUUGAUAUACCUAAAUUCUAUAGUCACAGAGAUGAAAAUCCAAACAGAGGACAAGGAUUCAGAGACUAAUUAUAAUUUACUGAGUAUACCUCUGCUGUCCUGCUUACAUCAAGACUCACCACAGUUGGUUCAAAUUAUUAGAGAACAAUUUCUUCACAAAAAUGAGGAGAAUAAACCCUAUAAUCUUUCUGACACAGUUGAACAAGUUUUAAAUAACUUGUGGACUUUUGCUUCAGAAACAUUGAAGGAAGUUGUUAAAGUGAAACCAUUUUCAAGGAAACCAGUUUCAACUCCCAAUGAAGUUGAUGAUCUUGUUUUUGAUGGAAAAAAGAAAGGUGGAUUUUUCAUCGAAGCUGGAGCUAAUAAUUUCGAGUCGGAUUCAGAUUCUCUUCACUUCGAAUUAAACCAUGGUUGGACGGGUCUAUUGGUGGAACCACAUCCCUCUUAUUAUGAAAAAGGAAUGAGCAAGAAUAGAAGAGUGACAAGUGUAAACACCUGCCUCUCCCCAAUAGACCGAGUUGCCUCAAUUCCUUUCAACAUCAACUAUGCUGGAUUAGAUUUGAUGGGAAAUAAACUGGGAGACAACUCAAGUGAACCUAUUCUACAGUGUAUUCCAUUAUAUUCACUUCUACUCGCACUUGGGAAUCCUACUGUUAACUAUUUUAGAUAUAGAGGGAGGAGAGUUUCAGGUUCUAAAAACUAUACCUUGGGACUUGGUGGAUAUUCAAGUUUUAAGCAUAGAAACUCAUUUUGCAGGAGAACGUAGUAAGGGCUCAAGAGAGGAUAUAAUCUCGUACAUGAAGGAUGUUGGAUAUCAAUAUAUAUCCUGGGGCCACGAGAUUUACGGAUAUGUCAC
This 1164-nucleotide unclassified non-coding RNA is filed under the name Eurytemora carolleeae. Its description in RNAcentral is "uncharacterized LOC111700431". The record is from RNAcentral. Lineage: Eukaryota; Metazoa; Arthropoda; Copepoda; Calanoida; Temoridae.